RNAcentral lists this ribosomal RNA (761 nucleotides) under Dietzia maris. RNAcentral describes it as "bacterial SSU rRNA". It matches the Rfam family "Bacterial small subunit ribosomal RNA", at positions 90 to 864 of the family's 1533-position model. Lineage: Bacteria; Bacillati; Actinomycetota; Actinomycetes; Mycobacteriales; Dietziaceae. The record is from RNAcentral.
CACGAGUGGCGAACGGGUGAGUAACACGUGGGUAAUCUGCCCUGCACUUCGGGAUAAGCCUGGGAAACUGGGUCUAAUACCGGAUAUGAACUCCUGCCGCAUGGUGGGGGUUGGAAAGUUUUUCGGUGCAGGAUGAGCCCGCGGCCUAUCAGCUUGUUGGUGGGGUAAUGGCCUACCAAGGCGACGACGGGUAGCCGGCCUGAGAGGGUGAUCGGCCACACUGGGACUGAGACACGGCCCAGACUCCUACGGGAGGCAGCAGUGGGGAAUAUUGCACAAUGGGCGAAAGCCUGAUGCAGCGACGCCGCGUGGGGGAUGACGGUCUUCGGAUUGUAAACCCCUUUCAGUAGGGACGAAGCGCAAGUGACGGUACCUGCAGAAGAAGCACCGGCUAACUACGUGCCAGCAGCCGCGGUAAUACGUAGGGUGCGAGCGUUGUCCGGAAUUACUGGGCGUAAAGAGCUCGUAGGCGGUUUGUCACGUCGUCUGUGAAAUCCCUCGGCUUAACCGGGGGCGUGCAGGCGAUACGGGCAGACUUGAGUACUACAGGGGAGACUGGAAUUCCUGGUGUAGCGGUGAAAUGCGCAGAUAUCAGGAGGAACACCGGUGGCGAAGGCGGGUCUCUGGGUAGUAACUGACGCUGAGGAGCGAAAGCAUGGGUAGCGAACAGGAUUAGAUACCCUGGUAGUCCAUGCCGUAAACGGUGGGCAGCUAGGUGUGGGGUCCUUCCACGGACUCCGUGCCGUAGCUAACGCAUUAAG